RNAcentral lists this ribosomal RNA (397 nucleotides) under uncultured bacterium. Its description in RNAcentral is "partial 16S ribosomal RNA". It matches the Rfam family "Bacterial small subunit ribosomal RNA", at positions 338 to 732 of the family's 1533-position model. The record is from RNAcentral.
CCUACGGGAGGCAGCAGUGAGGAAUAUUGGUCAAUGGGCGCAAGCCUGAACCAGCCAAGUCGCGUGAGGGAUGACGGCCCUACGGGUUGUAAACCUCUUUUGUCGGGGAGCAAAGCCCGCCACGUGUGGCGGGAAGGAGAUUACCCGCAGAAAAAGCAUCGGCUAACUCCGUGCCAGCAGCCGCGGUAAUACGGAGGAUGCGAGCGUUAUCCGGUUUUAUUGGGUUUAAAGGGUGCGUAGGCGGAUGUUUAAGUCAGUGGUAAAAUGUAGGGGCUCAACACCGAGCUGCCAUUGAAACUGGUCGUCUUGAGUGGAAGAGAAGUAUGCGGAAUGCGUGGUGUAGCGGUGAAAUGCAUAGAUAUCACGCAGAACUCCGAUUGCGAAGGCAGCAUACCGG